UGACUUCUCCCAUCUUCACGGGCCGCGC
RNAcentral lists this small RNA (28 nucleotides) under Bombyx mori (domestic silkworm). Its description in RNAcentral is "ovarian small RNA-1522". The record is from RNAcentral. Lineage: Eukaryota; Metazoa; Arthropoda; Insecta; Lepidoptera; Bombycidae.